RNA transcript from Zea mays, 1447 nucleotides. RefSeq lists it as uncharacterized. The record is from RefSeq and is marked validated. NCBI's taxonomy places the organism in Eukaryota, Viridiplantae, Streptophyta, Magnoliopsida, Poales, Poaceae. The transcript has 5 exons.
UGUCCGAGGAGAGCGGCGGCGGCGCAAGGAGUCUUCCUCUCCGACGCCGGCAACGUCGACACCGCUGGCAAACUUCUCUCCGAUUGUCCCUGCUCCAGUAAGAGUAGGCGAGGACGAGCCUCCCCCAUCUUGGGUGUUGGUGCCUGACCCAUUUUCUCAAGUUUUGCUAUGGAUAUGAGCAAUAGAGAUCACCUUAGGAGGAGGGAGGAUGAUGAUGAUGACCUCUUCCUUUUGAUUCUCCCUUCCCUACAUCUCUUGGGCUAUCUUGGACGUAGUAAAAAGAAAUUGAGGCAUACAUCAACGCUGACCGGGGAGGAAAAGGUUCGAGAGCUGCUUGAAGGCCAUAUCAAGAACUGCAGGGUAUCAUUUAGAAUGGAACCUUACAUUUUCAAAUCCUUGGCGAACUAUCUUAGAAUGGAAGGAUUGGUUAAAGAUACAAGAAUCAAAGUUGAGGAAAAACUUGGCUUCUUCCUAUACAUGAUUAGCCACAAUGCGACAUUUGAAGAUCUCCAAGUCUUUUUUGGUCAUAGCAAUGAUACAUUUCACCGUGUUAUCAAACAUUUCUUCGACAUUGUUAUCCCUGGCCUUAGCAUGCGGUUCCUAAAGCCUCCUUCCAAUCAAGUUCAUCCUAAAAUUCAUGGAUUGUUGCUGAUCCACCAAUAUGGGAAAACAUCAUAAAAGGCCAAGAAAUUUCAAAAGAAGUCUUUCCCUCUCUUUGAUGCUCUUGGGGAACUAUAUGAUGGGCACAUUGCUCAAGGGACCUGGAACAUAACAUCUACACAACUACCACAAGAAUGGAACACAAUUUCAAAUGAAGAAGAACAAGUGAACACCACAAGAAUGGAUGAGGAAGGCAUUAUUCAACAACAACCACAAGAAGAGGAUUCAAGAUUGGAACAAGAUGAAGAUCCUAUAAUUGAAAGGACUGAACAGAGGUCUACUGCAAUGAGAAGGUCUACUGCAUCAACAAUCAAUCAAGAUAAGGAAGCAAAGAGGAUGAAGAAGGAUUCUUUGGAAGGACUUGUUGGGAGAUAUCUAGAUCUGAAAUCAAAACAAGUUGAGGAUGAGGUUACACAAAUGGUGAAAGGAAAAGAAUCUGCUCAAGGUAAUGACUUCUCCAUCAUGAGAUGCAUUUCUGUUCUUAGAUCUAUGAAUGUGACAGCAGAUGAGAAGAUAAAAGCAGCUGAGGUGUUCGACAUACCAAACAACAGAGAGACAUUUAUCAGUUUUAGUGUUGAUGAACCAGAAACUGCCCUCCUAUGGUUAAGACGGAAGAUUGAUAAGCUCUAAGACAGGAAAUAUUGGUCAUAUGGAGACAGUUCUGCACAGCGUUUUGAGUGCCAGUAUGAGCUAUAUAUAUGUUGCAUUUCUCCAUGUUUGGGCUCAGCAUGUAAUAGAACCGAAGGAAGGUUGUUGCGAGACUUGUAUGGCAUGCUUAAAUUUCUGG